AGUAGGGAAUAUUGGUCAAUGGACGGAAGUCUGAACCAGCCAUGCCGCGUGCAGGACGAAGGCCCUCUGGGUUGUAAACUGCUUUUGUAUAGGAAGAAACGUCCCGACGUGUCGGGAUUUGACGGUACUAUAAGAAUAAGGAUCGGCUAACUACGUGCCAGCAGCCGCGGUAAUACGUAGGAUCCGAGCGUUGUCCGGAUUUAUUGGGUUUAAAGGGUGCGCAGGCGGCCCAAUAAGUCAGUGGUGAAAGCCGACAGCUUAACUGUCGAACUGCCAUUGAUACUGUUGGGCUUGAGUAUAGUUGAGGUUGGCGGAAUGUAACAUGUAGCGGUGAAAUGCUUAGAUAUGUUACAGAACACCGAUUGCGAAGGCAGCUGACUAAGCUAUUACUGACGCUCAUGCACGAAAGCGUGGGGAUCAAA
RNAcentral lists this ribosomal RNA (422 nucleotides) under uncultured Sphingobacteriales bacterium. Its description in RNAcentral is "bacterial SSU rRNA". It matches the Rfam family "Bacterial small subunit ribosomal RNA", at positions 353 to 772 of the family's 1533-position model. The record is from RNAcentral. Lineage: Bacteria; Pseudomonadati; Bacteroidota; Sphingobacteriia; Sphingobacteriales.